GCGGAUGUGGCGAAACUGGUAGACGCGAUAGGUUUAGGACCUAUUGACUGCAAGGUCUUGGGGGUUCGAGUCCCUUCAUCCGCAC
Molecule: transfer RNA, 85 nt
Filed under: Candidatus Levyibacteriota bacterium
Lineage: Bacteria; Candidatus Levyibacteriota
Description: Candidatus Levybacteria bacterium tRNA-Leu
Rfam family: tRNA
About the family: Transfer RNA (tRNA) molecules are approximately 80 nucleotides in length. Their secondary structure includes four short double-helical elements and three loops (D, anti-codon, and T loops).
Source: RNAcentral